Molecule: long non-coding RNA, 451 nt
Filed under: Gallus gallus (chicken)
Lineage: Eukaryota; Metazoa; Chordata; Aves; Galliformes; Phasianidae
Description: long non-coding RNA NONGGAT004069
Source: RNAcentral
UCUCACUGUCACUAUUCCUUAAGCUUGAUCAGCUUACAUGCCCCAUGGUAACUGUUGAGGGUUACUGAUGGGUCAUUCAUCCAUCAGAAUUACCUGCCAGCUAUUCCAGGCAUGCAGACGGAUGGAAGGGAGACUCUGGAUGAGAUGUGACAGCUUUCUGCUUCUGCAGUGAGAAUAGCUGAGAGCUGGAGAAAGUGGGUGCUGAUGGAGGAUCGACUGCUCUACUUCAUGAGACAGAAACUGGGGAGCAAUGCUGUGUGUCCAGAGUGAAUGCCUGAGGUCCUGCUGGUAAGGCACAACAUUCCAUUGCCCUCCUUUUUUCCAACUAAAAGCAGGAAGAAAUGUCAAGGAGACUGGCAAGAAUAUCUGUGUUCUCAGCAGUGUCCCCAGCAUACAUCUUGCUGUGCCUGACUGGGGCAUGCCAUCACCAGCAUGUCUAAUUCCAUCGUGU